RNAcentral lists this ribosomal RNA (279 nucleotides) under uncultured bacterium. RNAcentral's name for it is "partial 16S ribosomal RNA". It matches the Rfam family "Bacterial small subunit ribosomal RNA", at positions 506 to 784 of the family's 1533-position model. The record is from RNAcentral.
UGCCAGCCGCCGCGGUAAUACGGAAGGUGCGAGCGUUAAUCGGAAUUACUGGGCGUAAAGCGCACGUAGGUGGCUUGGUAAGUCGGAUGUGAAAGCCCUGGGCUCAACCGAGGAAUUGCGUUUGAUACUGCUUUGCUAGAGUCUCGGAGAGGUUGGCGGAAUUCCAGGUGUAGGAGUGAAAUCCGUAGAUAUCUGGAGGAACACCAGUGGCGAAGGCGGCUAACUGGCUCGGUACUGACGCUGAGAUGCGAAAGCGUGGGGAGCAAACAGGAUUAGAUA